Molecule: ribosomal RNA, 467 nt
Filed under: uncultured bacterium
Lineage: Bacteria
Description: partial 16S ribosomal RNA
Rfam family: Bacterial small subunit ribosomal RNA
Source: RNAcentral
ACGCACGCUGGCGGCGUGCUUCACCCAUGCAAGUCGCACGGAAAGGCCCUGCUUUUGUGGGGUGCUCGAGUGGCGAACGGGUGAGUAACACGUGAGUAACCUGCCCUUGACUUUGGGAUAACUUCAGGAAACUGGGGCUAAUACCGGAUAGGAGCUCCUGCUGCAUGGUGGGGGUUGGAAAGUUUCGGCGGUUGGGGAUGGACUCGCGGCUUAUCAGCUUGUUGGUGGGGUAGUGGCUUACCAAGGCUUUGACGGGUAGCCGGCCUGAGAGGGUGACCGGCCACAUUGGGACUGAGAUACGGCCCAGGCUCCUACGGGAGGCAGCAGUGGGGAAUAUUGCACAAUGGGCGGAAGCCUGAUGCAGCAACGCCGCGUGCGGGAUGACGGCCUUCGGGUUGUAAACCGCUUUCGCCUGUGACGAAGCGUGAGUGACGGUAAUGGGUAAAGAAGCACCGGCUAACUACGUG